UGUCACUACACAAUAUUCCUGAGAUGUCAAGGUCACGGACUGAUUUGAGCUCCAGGCCAGCCCUCACCAGCUGCUCGCUCAACUGAAUCUCCACUCUGGCCAUUCAUGAGGCUUAAUGGGGGGGCUGGAGUAGACACCCCCUCUUUUCCUACGUGGACAGUGCAGGUGAUCCAACCCCUCUUUAUAUGUGGGACCUCAGUCUUUCUCUCUAACGCCUCCUCUCCGAAAUCCGCACCCCUCGUUGACCCCCGGCCCGCCGCCUCUCUCACAGCCUCUCCAGAAGCUGAGGCCCUUGACCACAAAGAGGGGCUGGCGCUGGCCACCCUUGCCAACCCUCGAUGACCGCAGGUGUAAAUGCGCCUUUCCGCCAGCAGGGGGCAGGAGCUGCCCGGCAAUCCAGUGCUGGGCGCGCGCCCCCCUCCGGCCCGAGUUUCCCUGCAGGUUCCCCGCUUCUCCUCAGCUCCCCGCCUCCUUCCUGGGCGGAGUGAGAGAGGGCGCCAGUGCCCCUGUGAGUCAAUGCGCGCUUGCGGGGGUGGUGGGUGACGCGGUGCCGAGCAUCGGUUCGGGAAAGCCAGGCUCCCGCCCUGGGAUGAUGCUCUUCGGGCUCCCGGGCUGCUCGAAUAACACUCCGGCGGCGCUGCCCCUGCGCCCCGAGAGACCGGGGCCACCCCGUUAUUCCUCAGGUCCCUUCACCCCAGGGGCUCCGCCACCGCGGGGGCGGGUCACAGCUCGUGCAGAGCAGUCUGGAGGCUCUACACGGAGGGCCUCCCGCCUCCUCCACAGAAACAAUACCCGGACUUGGGGGCACAGCCCGGGAACCAGGCGCUGCCGGAGAGGAGGGCGCGGAGCCGGGGAGACCGCUCCUCUCCCUCCGCACCCUCGCUGGUGCAGGCGGGUCCAACUGCCGCCGCCGCCCGGGCCGGCAGGGGGCGCUGCGCCGCCGUUCCCCGCGCGCCCGGGGACCAGAGGUGACCUCUGGUUCUUCCUCAGAGGUGGCUUGCCAAAGGCUUUUCGAAAUCCUGCUGCUUUUCCUAGUAUAAACCAGUGAGGAUGGCUAUACUGGAACAAAGCAGCAACACGAAGCCCCAUGUAUUUCUCUGUAGCGCACGUGCUGUGCACAAGGCCGUCUGGUACGACCCGUCUUCCCCGGAGAUAAGUUCUGAAGCUCCUGCACGGGUGUGGGGUCCGGGAGCUGUGGGGUGACAACAGAAACCCUUCCAGAUGCACCUGCUGUUACCGGACCGAAUGAAGCCUGGGAAAAGAACAUUCUGGGCACAGCGGAGCUAUUGUUUUUAUUAUGACUAUUAUUUAUUUAUUUUGUAAUGGGUAUCUGAGAAGUCAGUAUCAAUUGGGUUAAACUUUGUUCUUUUAAUGUUGCCAUUUUAGUAUAUGGCGGACAAACUGAGGUACUAGGAUGGACAAGUAACUUAUUUUAACAUUCACUUGGAGCAUAUUCUGGAGCAAAUUGAAAGUUCCCAUGUGUAAGACAAUAAAUUGCCUCGUUGAACCCUCACAACAGACUACAAGGUGGGUCUGAUUGUCCCCGUGUUAGAGAUUGUCUGAGGCCCAGACAGAAGGUAAGAGCAGGGAGCCGCAGAAUCCUGAGCGCCUGCCUCCAAGCUUGCGUGUUCUUCCUGGCACGCAGCUUCUCAGAGGGAGGCAGGGUACGAGGGAGGGUUAAGGUCAGUUCUGCCCACUCAGGCUGCCUCUGGUUCUCAUCUCUAAGAAGGGCAUAUCACCCAGACUGAAAUACCCGCCUUGUUGGGGUUUUGUUUCCUAGGUAGUCGUGUUUCCUUAAGCAAAUGUAUUUGGAGAGUGUGACAGAUGGAAUUAGUGUCUGUUCCAGUGGUUUUCUCACUUUUCACACCCCUGUCAUCUCCAGGUGUGAGCUGUGUUUAUUUAUUUUUUAUUUUUUUUAAAGAUUUUAUUUAUUUAUUUGUCAGAGAGAGAGAGAGCACAACGCAGGGGGAUCGGCAGGCAGAGGGAGAGGGAGAAGCAGGCUCCCCAUUGAGCAGGGAGCCAGAUGCAGGGGUUCUGGGAUCAUGACCUGAGCCGAAGGCAGACGCUCAACUGACUGAGCCACCCAGGCGUCCUGCAAGCUGUGUUUACCAACACAAGUAACGAAAUUAUGUUUGCUGUUUUAAUUGAUCAUACAUGCAUGUUAUACUAUAUAUUAUAUAUAUAAUUGUUAUGUGAGGCUUUUCAGUCCCUGAGUUAAAUGGUUUCACCACAGCAGAGACACUUGGUAUUCAGCUCUUCAUUAGCCCCCCUGCAUUAUAAAGAUAAAUGUACGUUUCUCUUUGGGUGUUUGCAAUAUUAUGUAUUAAGCUGCUGGCACUAUGGUAAAGUAGUUGUCAAAGUGUGGUCCAAGGACCUUGAUGGCCCCCCAAACUCUGUUGAGGUGUCUGUGAGGUCCUAACCCAUAUCACUAUCUGUGGGAGGCUGAAUUUUCUUUGUGUCAUCCGACAAAACAACACUGUGCCAUAGAUUGAAUGGAAAAGCAGACAUGACAAUCCAGCCAGGCACUAAAGGACUAUUCACAAAUGUGAAGCAAUGCUGUUGUUCAUAUUAAGUUUUGGUUUUGGAAAAUGGAAUUAUUUUUCAUAAAAAUAUAUCAAUGUCAUAUGCUGGAUUCACUAUUGGUAUUUUAUUUUAUUAUUUUUUAAAGAUUUUAUUUAUUUAAUUGAGAAAGAAAGCACAGGAGCGAGAGAGAUUGAGAGGACAAGGCAGGGGAGAGGCAGAGGGAGAAGCAGACUCCCAGCGCAGUGGAGAGCCUGACGUGGGGCUCGAUCCCAGGACCCUGGGCUCAUGACCCAAGCUGAAGGCAGACGCUUAACGACUGAGCUGCCCAGGCGCCCCCAGUAUGAGGUGGUUUUCCUAGGCAGUGCGGGAGGACGUUGGCUGGUGCUCAUCUGUCAGCAAAACAGCUGUAUGUGGUCACUCAUCAGUGACCUCCCCAGAACGGGGAGGGGUCGUACUGGGAAUCGGAAGAAGGGUGGGCUAGAUGGGUGAUGGGCUUUAAGGAGGACACUUCUUGUGAUGAACACGGGGUGUUGUAUGAAAAUGAUGAAUCACUGAAUUCUAUACCCGAGGGGUGCCGCCUGGGUGGCUUAGUCGUUGAGCGUCUGCUUUCGGCUCAGGUCAUGAUCCCAGGGUCCUGGGAUCGAGUCCCGCAUUGGGCUUCCUGCUCAGUGGGAAGCCUGCUUCUCCCUCUCCCACUCCUCCUGCUUGUGUUCCCUCUCUUGCUGGGUCUCUCUCUGUCAAAUAAAUAAAAUCUUUAAAAAAAAAAUUCUGGGGCGCCUGGGUGGCACAGCAGUUAAGCGUCUGCCUUCGGCUCAGGGCGUGAUCCCGGCGUUGUGGGAUCGAGCCCC
This 3371-nucleotide long non-coding RNA is filed under the name Ailuropoda melanoleuca (giant panda). RNAcentral describes it as "lncRNA (ENSAMEG00000031339.1)". The record is from RNAcentral. Lineage: Eukaryota; Metazoa; Chordata; Mammalia; Carnivora; Ursidae.